RNAcentral lists this transfer RNA (51 nucleotides) under Yersinia pestis PY-02. Its description in RNAcentral is "partial tRNA-Ser". It matches the Rfam family "tRNA", at positions 25 to 71 of the family's 71-position model. From Rfam's summary of the family: Transfer RNA (tRNA) molecules are approximately 80 nucleotides in length. Their secondary structure includes four short double-helical elements and three loops (D, anti-codon, and T loops). Further hydrogen bonds mediate the characteristic L-shaped molecular structure. tRNAs have two regions of fundamental functional importance: the anti-codon, which is responsible for specific mRNA codon recognition, and the 3' end, to which the tRNAs corresponding amino acid is attached (by aminoacyl-tRNA synthetases). tRNAs cope with the degeneracy of the genetic code in two manners: having more than one tRNA (with a specific anti-codon) for a particular amino acid; and 'wobble' base-pairing, i.e. permitting non-standard base-pairing at the 3rd anti-codon position. The record is from RNAcentral. RNAcentral also lists the same sequence under 1 other name. Lineage: Bacteria; Pseudomonadati; Pseudomonadota; Gammaproteobacteria; Enterobacterales; Yersiniaceae.
ACCUGCCUGUCACGCAGGGGGUCGCGGGUUCGAGCCCCGUCCGUUCCGCCA